GCAGUCGAGCGGUAGGCCCUUCGGGGUACACGAGCGGCGAACGGGUGAGUAACACGUGAGCAACCUGCCCCUGACUCCGGGAUAAGCGGUGGAAACGCCGUCUAAUACCGGAUAUGACACACCAUCUCCUGGUGGUGUGUGGAAAGUUUUGUCGGUCAGGGAUGGGCUCGCGGCCUAUCAGCUAGUUGGUGGGGUAAAGGCCUACCAAGGCGAUUACGGGUAGCCGGCCUGAGAGGGCGACCGGCCACACUGGGACUGAGACACGGCCCAGACUCCUGCGGGAGGCAGCAGUGGGGAAUAUUGCACAAUGGGCGAAAGCCUGAUGCAGCGACGCCGCGUGGGGGAUGACGGCCUUCGGGUUGUAAACCUCUUUUACCACCAACGCAGGCCCCGGGUUCUCUCGGGGUUGACGGUAGGUGGGGAAUAAGGACCGGCUAACUACGUGCCAGCAGCCGCGGUAAUACGUAGGGUCCGAGCGUUGUCCGGAAUUAUUGGGCGUAAAGAGCUCGUAGGCGGCGUGUCGCGUCUGCUGUGAAAGACCGGGGCUUAACCCCGGUUCUGCAGUGGAUACGGGCAUGCUAGAGGUAGGUAGGGGAGACUGGAAUUCCUGGUGUAGCGGUGAAAUGCGCAGAUAUCAGGAGGAACACCGGUGGCGAAGGCGGGUCUCUGGGCCUUACCUGACGCUGAGGAGCGAAAGCAUGGGGAGCGAACAGGAUUAGAUACCCUGGUAGUCCAUGCCGUAAACGUUGGGCGCUAGGUGUGGGGACUUUCCACGGUUUCCGCGCCGUAGCUAACGCAUUAAGCGCCCCGCCUGGGGAGUACGGCCGCAAGGCUAAAACUCAAGGGAAUUGACGGGGGCCCGCACAAAGCGGCGGAGCAUGUUGCUUAAUUUCGACGCAACGCGAAGAAACCUUACCAAGGUUUGACAUCACCCGUGGACCUGUAGAGAUACAGG
This 955-nucleotide ribosomal RNA is filed under the name Nocardiopsis terrae. Its description in RNAcentral is "bacterial SSU rRNA". It matches the Rfam family "Bacterial small subunit ribosomal RNA", at positions 57 to 1012 of the family's 1533-position model. Lineage: Bacteria; Bacillati; Actinomycetota; Actinomycetes; Streptosporangiales; Nocardiopsidaceae. The record is from RNAcentral.